AGCGAACGCUGGCGGCAGGCCUAACACAUGCAAGUCGAACGAACUCUUCGGAGUUAGUGGCGGACGGGUGAGUAACACGUGGGAACGUGCCUUUAGGUUCGGAAUAACUCAGGGAAACUUGUGCUAAUACCGAAUGUGCCCUUCGGGGGAAAGAUUUAUCGCCUUUAGAGCGGCCCGCGUCUGAUUAGCUAGUUGGUGAGGUAAAGGCUCACCAAGGCGACGAUCAGUAGCUGGUCUGAGAGGAUGAUCAGCCACAUUGGGACUGAGACACGGCCCAAACUCCUACGGGAGGCAGCAGUGGGGAAUCUUGCGCAAUGGGCGAAAGCCUGACGCAGCCAUGCCGCGUGAAUGAUGAAGGUCUUAGGAUUGUAAAAUUCUUUCACCGGGGACGAUAAUGACGGUACCCGGAGAAGAAGCCCCGGCUAACUUCGUGCCAGCAGCCGCAGUAA
RNAcentral lists this ribosomal RNA (449 nucleotides) under uncultured bacterium. RNAcentral's name for it is "partial 16S ribosomal RNA". It matches the Rfam family "Bacterial small subunit ribosomal RNA", at positions 29 to 523 of the family's 1533-position model. The record is from RNAcentral.